UUCAGAGGGUGCGAGCGUUAAUCGGAAUUACUGGGCGUAAAGCGCGCGUAGGCGGCUUUGCAAGUCGGGUGUGAAAUCCCCAAGCUUAACCUGGGAACUGCAUUCGAGACUGCAUUGCUAGAGUAUGGGAGAGGGAAGUGGAAUUUCCGGUGUAGCGGUGAAAUGCGUAGAUAUCGGAAGGAACACCGGUGGCGAAGGCGGUUCUCUGGGCAUGUCCUGACGCUGAGGAGCGAAAUUGUGGGGAGCGAACAGG
This 253-nucleotide ribosomal RNA is filed under the name uncultured bacterium. Its description in RNAcentral is "partial 16S ribosomal RNA". It matches the Rfam family "Bacterial small subunit ribosomal RNA", at positions 524 to 776 of the family's 1533-position model. The record is from RNAcentral.